RNAcentral lists this transfer RNA (71 nucleotides) under Bos taurus (domestic cattle). It matches the Rfam family "tRNA". From Rfam's summary of the family: Transfer RNA (tRNA) molecules are approximately 80 nucleotides in length. RNAcentral also lists the same sequence under 5 other names. Lineage: Eukaryota; Metazoa; Chordata; Mammalia; Artiodactyla; Bovidae. The record is from Rfam by way of RNAcentral.
UCCUGAUGGCUCAGAUGGUAAAGAAUCUGCCUGCAAUGCAGGAGACCUGGGUUCAAUUCCUAGGUUGGGAA